This 572-nucleotide ribosomal RNA is filed under the name uncultured bacterium. Its description in RNAcentral is "bacterial SSU rRNA". It matches the Rfam family "Bacterial small subunit ribosomal RNA", at positions 391 to 974 of the family's 1533-position model. The record is from RNAcentral.
GCGACGCCGCGUGCGGGAUGAAGGCCUUCGGGUUGUAAACCGCUCUCAGUAGGGAAGAAGCGAAAGUGACGGUACCUACAAAAGAAGCACCGGCUAACUAUGUGCCAGCAGCCGCGGUAAUACAUAGGGUGCAAGCGUUGUCCGGAAUUAUUGGGCGUAAAGAGCUCGUAGGUUGUUUGUUACGUCGGAUGUGAAAACCUGAGGCUCAACCUCAGGCCUGCAUUCGAUACGGGCAAACUAGAGUUUGGUAGGGGAGACUGGAAUUCCUGGUGUAGCGGUGGAAUGCGCAGAUAUCAGGAGGAACACCAAUGGCGAAGGCAGGUCUCUGGGCCAAUACUGACACUGAGGAGCGAAAGUCUGGGGAGCGAACAGGAUUAGAUACCCUGGUAGUCCAGACCGUAAACGGUGGGCACUAGUUGUGGGGACCUUCCACGGUUUCUGCGACGCAGCUAACGCAUUAAGUGCCCCGCCUGGGGAGUACGAUCGCAAGAUUAAAACUCAAAGGAAUUGACGGGGCCCCGCACAAGCAGCGGAGCAUGCGGCUUAAUUCGACGCAACGCGAAGAAACUUAC